Molecule: ribosomal RNA, 346 nt
Filed under: uncultured bacterium
Lineage: Bacteria
Description: bacterial SSU rRNA
Rfam family: Bacterial small subunit ribosomal RNA
Source: RNAcentral
AGGGUUUGAUUAUGGCUCAGGAUGAACGCUGGCGGCGUGCUUAACACAUGCAAGUCGAACGAAGCAUUUAGAACGGAUUACUUCGGUUUGAAGUUCUUUAUGACUGAGUGGCGGACGGGUGAGUAACGCGUGGGUAACCUGCCUUGUACUGGGGGAUAGCAGCUGGAAACGGCUGGUAAUACCGCAUAAGCGCACAAUGUUGCAUGACAUGGUGUGAAAAACUCCGGUGGUAUAAGAUGGACCCGCGUCUGAUUAGCUAGUUGGUGAGAUAACAGCCCACCAAGGCGACGAUCAGUAGCCGACCUGAGAGGGUGACCGGCCACAUUGGGACUGAGACACGGCCCAG